GCAGCAUAUUCUGGUUGGUGUAGAAGAGCAGCUUCUGCUCCAUGAGUCUCAUCUUCAAAUCAUCCAACCCAUUGACGGCGGUUAGCGAGCUCGUUAGCUCAUCCUCGCCUGCAAUGUGCUGAUUGUUAUGAUGGAGGCUCGCCGGAGAGCCCGCAUAGGAUGCCGGGUCGCAGUCUUCCGUGUGUGACACGUCCAGCAGCCCUUCGCCGCCGCCGCCGUCCGCGUACGAACUAUCGUCAAACAUGUCCUCCAGGAAGAUUUCCGUUUUACAUUUGCUGCUCGAUGGGUCUCCUGAAAAACAAUUCCCCAGUGUUAUUCUGUAUAAUUCUAUCGAGCAUUUUCCGAAUAACCUUCAUUACUUGCUAACGAUUUGUAGUACUGGUGAAACGUGUCGAAAUAAGGGAAGCGCAUCUUAUUGGAGCGCCCUCCACUGGCUUCCAUCCGCUUCGCGCAGGUUCGGUAGGUUUUGAGCAGAUUAUUGAACCGUGUUUGGCAAGCAGCGGCAUUUUUCUGGAUACCAACAAACCAGACUAUCAGCUCCACAGAAAAUACUUAAAAUCACGCAACACUUACAAUAAAGUUAUGUUCCUUUGCCAGGUAAAGCGAAAUUUUGUCGUACACUUUAUCAUUUCGCCCGCAACCGAACAGCUCCAGCCGCUUGCGUAUCAUCAAAUUGGUCUCUUCCAUUGUCCAUGUGUUGUUCAUGGUGGUGUAGUGGCUCAUGCUCGAGGUUCCCGCUGCAGGAAUGAUUAGAUCUAAAACACUUAAAACGGUAAUUCACAGUGAUUUAACAUUGAAACUAAUUUAACACUAAUCGCCGCAACGACAGCUGAGUGGCGGUUUGUUUGUAAAUAAACUCGUUGUUUUGCGCUAUUUCCACCACCUGUUUCGGCAAUUUUUGUACUGUAAGUACAACUGGGCUAUUUUGAUGUUAAUUUCACUCUCAAGUGGAACGAAGUGAAAACCAAGGCGCCUCUAUAUAUACCAGGUGAAACAAUCAUAUGAAAUGCACUUUCAGCCAUAUUGGAAUUGCUGUCGGUAUUGUUUACAAACAGCAUCAGAACGCUGCCGGCGGCUCUCUACAAACUGCUGCGACGCUUAUUCGAACGAUGCCUACUUUGUUCGGCUUUCGCGAAUUUAUGUGAAAAAGACGGGAUGAUUUUGUAGAAUUUCAUUCUCAUCCAGUUCAUCCACUACUCUCGCAUGUGAAAAUGCAAAAAUGGCGUAUCCUAGCAAUAACAAAACAAACAACUCCCGCUCCACAAACCGUAAUCCCCUUCUCAUUGAAGUGAUGAUGUUGCUUCACCUGUUAUACAUUUAUACAAGCGCCUUGGUUAAAACCGGAGGCGCUGAUGUAUGGCGAGUACACUGGAGAAAAACUUUAGUAAAUGCAGCUACCAAACCUUUAGUAGUCGAAACAUUUGUAAAAUGUACACAUUUUUUGUGAAUAUUACCAAAACUUUGUAAAACUGAUGUCAGAUGCAAUGUACAUCCCUACCAAUGAUUCGUACAUUUUACUUCAUAUGCUUCCUUUACAAUGCAGGCUUUUAAUCGCAUGCGAUAUACUCACUCGCGAUAUUUUUCAGUGCAGCCCUUUACAAUGGUUAGCUAUAUCGCGCGAUAAUAAGUCAUAAUCUGUCUGUCAAACCUGCAUCCCUCUCAUCAUACAGCCAUUAUUUGUUAUGGACCAAGACGGGUCUAUGGUACUAGGUGAGGCCGUUUCGUCACUAAGUUGGUUAGGGGAGCGGUAUAUGAAAACAGUACGGAAGAAAGCAAAAGGGGAAUUAUUUCCUUGAAGCGUGAAAGAGACAGACUGAUCAGGAGCGAGCUUCGGCACUAGCGUAUUGGGUUUUGUUUACAAACAAAACACAGUAGACUUCCAAGAUGGCUGAAGAGUGGUUUUACCAAGUUGGCCCACCUUAGGAUAUACUUCUACGCGCCUUGUUAUGGACAAGGUUGUACUAGAGUGGUGGAACAAAAUCAUAUCGCUAGAAAUGUGAAUGCAAGUAUAAAAUGCCAGAUAAUUAAUAAUUGAAAAACCAACAAAUUCAAUCGAAUAUUAACAAAAAUGUGUAAAAAUAAUUAUGAUUAUACAGCAAUACGCUUGCAACAGGUGAUCGUUGCAGCUCUAACUUUAUGAAGCGUUUCAUAUGAACAUUUUUUUCGAUAUAUCGUUCCAUCCAUCAAGUAUAUUUUGUUCCACCUGUCUGAUGUAUGUAGUGUCUCCUUUCAAAGCAACGCGAUUUUCGCAGCCAAAGCUUGGAGAGUUCUAUCUUUUUUCGCACUGUCAUAGGUGAUUUCGCGCUUUGCCCUGAUUGGUUGACGAAUAAAAAUCGCUAUUGAAGAAAAAAAAUCGCGCUCAUUGUAGAUGAUGGUAAAUCCGGCAAUAGCAUGUGUAACCGGCAAUAGCAUGUGUGUAAUUUUUAUUUCUAACAACUGUGUGUGUGCUCAACCGCCAUUUCUCUAAUGGAAGCGAAACGAUUUGGAGCCUAAAAUCGUAGAAUCCAUAGCAAAAGUUUCAUGUAGCCAUCGCAACCAACAGCAGCAAUGGACCGCCUCUCGAUGGAUUCGUUGUCCCAGGAAGCGAUGGAUAUCAGUUGGGCCAAUCGUACCGUCAGCAGCGAGGAAACCAACAACAACCAUUUCACACUGAGCAAUCAACAGCCAAAAAGACUACCAGCACCGAUUCGGACAACAUCGACUCGGAUGAGAAGCAGCAGCAACAGCGCAGAUUGCCGGUGUUAUUCCACUAAUAUAAAGGGUGUGUCACAUCAAAUUGCAUCACGGAAAAAACGCUGUAGAAAUUCGCCCAGUAGACCGAUCCUUUUGAAA
Toxorhynchites rutilus septentrionalis is the source of this 2832-nucleotide long non-coding RNA. RefSeq lists it as uncharacterized. The record is from RefSeq and is a predicted model, not a curated record. The transcript has 3 exons. Lineage: Eukaryota; Metazoa; Arthropoda; Insecta; Diptera; Culicidae.